UCUCUCCCGACCUUAGAUCUUUUGGCGAGAACAUCGGCGUCGCUCCUUCGUCGAUCUCUCUCACUCUCCUCUGGCAGUUGUUUAGCGUCGCUGCUGCUGCUGAGCUUUGAAAGUUUGGAAAAUUUUGCUUAAAUGGAGGUUGCUUUGUGAAGGCUUUUGGAAGAAUGGAUGCAGCAUAUUUUUUUGCAAGGAUAUUAUCUCUAUGUGUAUUUUUGUGAUGGGUUGUAAUCUUUAAUGUCAUAAGUUUAAUUUGGUUGGUGUAUUAUUUUUUGUAAUGGUUUGUAAGAGAUUAUAUUUCCUUUCCUUGGUUGGUUGGUUGAAUGUGUGUGUGAGAUUUAUUUAGUCUAGAAACUUAGAUUGGAAUGAUGGAUUUUUAUAGCUUGAAUGUACAUAAUUUCAGGUUUUGAAAGA
Prunus dulcis (almond) is the source of this 411-nucleotide long non-coding RNA. RefSeq lists it as uncharacterized. The transcript has 3 exons. The record is from RefSeq and is a predicted model, not a curated record. NCBI's taxonomy places the organism in Eukaryota, Viridiplantae, Streptophyta, Magnoliopsida, Rosales, Rosaceae.